CCUACGGGUCGCAGCAGUGGGGAAUAUUGCACAAUGGGCGCAAGCCUGAUGCAGCCAUGCCGCGUGUAUGAAGAAGGCCUUCGGGUUGUAAAGUACUUUCAGCGAGGAGGAAGGCAUUAAGGUUAAUAACCUUGGUGAUUGACGUUACUCGCAGAAGAAGCACCGGCUAACUCCGUGCCAGCAGCCGCGGUAAUACGGAGGGUGCAAGCGUUAAUCGGAAUUACUGGGCGUAAAGCGCACGCAGGCGGUUUGUUAAGUCGGAUGUGAAAUCCCCGGGCUCAACCUGGGAACUGCAUUCGAAACUGGCAAGCUUGAGUCUUGUAGAGGGGGGUAGAAUUCCAGGUGUAGCAGUGAAAUGCGUAGAGAUCUGAAGGAAUACCAGUGGCGAAGGCGGCCCCCUGGACAAAGACUGACGCUCAGAUGCGAAAGCGUGGGGAGCAAACAGGAUUAGAUACCCUAGUAGUC
This 465-nucleotide ribosomal RNA is filed under the name uncultured bacterium. RNAcentral describes it as "bacterial SSU rRNA". It matches the Rfam family "Bacterial small subunit ribosomal RNA", at positions 338 to 795 of the family's 1533-position model. The record is from RNAcentral.